CCUACGGGUGGCUGCAGUCGAGAAUCUUCGGCAAUGGGCGCAAGCCUGACCGAGCGACGCCGCGUGUGGGAUGAAGGCCCUUGGGUUGUAAACCACUGUCAGAGGGGAUGAAAUGCCAGCCAGCAAUCUGGUUGGUUUGACAUAGCCUCAGAGGAAGCACGGGCUAAGUUCGUGCCAGCAGCCGCGGUAAUACGAACUGUGCGAACGUUAUUCGGAAUCACUGGGCUUACAGGGUGCGUAGGCGGCCUGUUAAGUAGGGUGUGAAAGCCCCCGGCUCAACCGGGGAAUGGCGCCCUAAACUGGCGGGCUGGAGUGAGAUAGGGGUGUGCGGAACUUCCGGUGGAGCGGUGAAAUGUGUUGAUAUCGGAAGGAACGCCGGUGGCGAAAGCGGCACACUGGAUCUCAACUGACGCUGAGGCACGAAAGCCAGGGGAGCGAACGGGAUUAGAUACCCCAGUAGUC
Molecule: ribosomal RNA, 462 nt
Filed under: uncultured bacterium
Lineage: Bacteria
Description: bacterial SSU rRNA
Rfam family: Bacterial small subunit ribosomal RNA
Source: RNAcentral